Molecule: small nuclear RNA, 180 nt
Filed under: Erinaceus europaeus (western European hedgehog)
Lineage: Eukaryota; Metazoa; Chordata; Mammalia; Eulipotyphla; Erinaceidae
Description: 7SK RNA
Rfam family: 7SK RNA
About the family: 7SK was discovered as an abundant small nuclear RNA in the mid-70s but a possible function has only recently been suggested. Two independent studies have found that 7SK RNA binds the CDK9/cyclin T complex (known as elongation factor P-TEFb).
Source: Rfam by way of RNAcentral
AAGCAUGUGAAAGAUGGAGACAUCUGUCACCCCAUUGAUUGCCAUGGUUGAUUCGGCUGAUCUGGCUGGCUAAGCGGGUGUCCCCUUCCUCCCGCACCGCUCCAUGGGCAUCCUUCCCGAAGCUGUGCGCUCGGUCAAAGAGGAUGGCCUUCCCCAAAUAAAAAAGAUAUAAAACAGGGG